UCCAGACUCCUACGGGAGGCAGCAGUGGGGAAUAUUGCACAAUGGGGGAAACCCUGAUGCAGCGACGCCGCGUGAGUGAAGAAGUAUUUCGAUAUGUAAAGCUCUAUCAGCAGGGAAGAAAAAAGACGGUACCUGACUAAGAAGCCCUGGCUAACUACGUGCCAGCAGCCGCGGUAAUACGUAGGGGGCAAGCGUUAUCCGGAAUUACUGGGUGUAAAGGGUGCGUAGGUGGCAUGGUAAGUCAGAAGUGAAAGCCCGGGGCUUAACCCCGGGACUGCUUUUGAAACUGUCAUGCUGGAGUGCAGGAGAGGUAAGCGGAAUUCCUAGUGUAGCGGUGAAAUGCGUAGAUAUUAGGAGGAACACCAGUGGCGAAGGCGGCUUACUGGACUGUCACUGACACUGAUGCACGAAAGCGUGGGGAGCAAACAGGAUUAGAUACCCGAGUA
RNAcentral lists this ribosomal RNA (446 nucleotides) under uncultured bacterium. RNAcentral's name for it is "bacterial SSU rRNA". It matches the Rfam family "Bacterial small subunit ribosomal RNA", at positions 330 to 792 of the family's 1533-position model. The record is from RNAcentral.